Molecule: non-coding RNA, 74 nt
Organism: Candidatus Gottesmanbacteria bacterium
Lineage: Bacteria; Candidatus Gottesmaniibacteriota
Source: Rfam
GCCGCCAUCGUCUAGCGGCCCAGGACGGUACCUUCUCAAGGUACAAAUCGGGGGUUCGAAUCCCCCUGGCGGUA